This 71-nucleotide transfer RNA is filed under the name Candidatus Colwellbacteria bacterium CG10_big_fil_rev_8_21_14_0_10_42_22. RNAcentral describes it as "tRNA-Gly". It matches the Rfam family "tRNA". Rfam says of the family: Transfer RNA (tRNA) molecules are approximately 80 nucleotides in length. Lineage: Bacteria; Candidatus Colwelliibacteriota. The record is from RNAcentral.
GCGGGAUUGGUACAGUGGUAGCACAUCAGCUUCCCAAGCUGAAGACACGGAUUCGAUUUCCGUAUCCCGCU